This 84-nucleotide ribosomal RNA is filed under the name Alphaproteobacteria bacterium. Its description in RNAcentral is "partial 16S ribosomal RNA". It matches the Rfam family "Bacterial small subunit ribosomal RNA", at positions 1 to 84 of the family's 1533-position model. Lineage: Bacteria; Pseudomonadati; Pseudomonadota; Alphaproteobacteria. The record is from RNAcentral.
AAACUUGAGAGUUUGAUCCUGGCUCAGAACGAACGCUGGCGGCAGGCUUAACACAUGCAAGUCGAACGAACCUUCGGGUUAGUG